RNAcentral lists this ribosomal RNA (301 nucleotides) under uncultured bacterium. Its description in RNAcentral is "partial 16S ribosomal RNA". It matches the Rfam family "Bacterial small subunit ribosomal RNA", at positions 509 to 807 of the family's 1533-position model. The record is from RNAcentral.
CAGUCGCCACGGUAAUACGAAGGGGGCUAGCGUUGUUCGGAUUUACUGGGCGUAAAGCGCACGUAGGCGGAUUGGUAAGUUAGGGGUGAAAUCCUGGAGCUCAACUCCAGAACUGCCUUUAAUACUGCCAGUCUCGAGUCCGGAAGAGGUAAGUGGAACUCCUAGUGUAGAGGUGGAAUUCGUAGAUAUUAGGAAGAACACCAGUGGCGAAGGCGGCUUACUGGUCCGGUACUGACGCUGAGGUGCGAAAGCGUGGGGAGCAAACAGGAUUAGAUACCCCAGUAGUCCCUGUCUCUUAUAC